CAACACGUGCGCCCAGGCGCGAAAACUUUACAAUGCCGCACCGAGAUAAGGGAACCCGAAGCCAGCUCUUACAGGCUGUCUAUAGUCUAAAAACAAGGUGACUAGUAC
Molecule: ribosomal RNA, 108 nt
Filed under: uncultured archaeon
Lineage: Archaea
Description: partial 16S ribosomal RNA
Source: RNAcentral